This 459-nucleotide ribosomal RNA is filed under the name uncultured bacterium. Its description in RNAcentral is "SSU rRNA". It matches the Rfam family "Bacterial small subunit ribosomal RNA", at positions 26 to 518 of the family's 1533-position model. The record is from RNAcentral.
AGAAUCAACGCUGGCGGCGUGCCUAACACAUGCAAGUCGCACGAGAAAGGGGAGCAAUCCCUGAGUACAGUGGCGCACGGGUGAGUAACACGUGAAUUAUCUACCUCCGAGUGGGGAAUAACUGAGAGAAAUCUUAGCUAAUACCGCAUAACACUUACGAGUCAAAGCAGCAAUGCGCUUGGAGAGGAGUUCGCGGCCGAUUAGUUAGUUGGCGGGGUAAUGGCCCACCAAGACGAUGAUCGGUAUCCGGCCUGAGAGGGCGCACGGACACACUGGAACUGAAACACGGUCCAGACUCCUACGGGAGGCAGCAGUGGGGAAUUUUGCGCAAUGGGGGAAACCCUGACGCAGCAACGCCGCGUGGAGGAUGAAAUCCCUUGGGAUGUAAACUCCUUUCGAUCGGGAAGAUAAUGACGGUACCGAGAGAAGAAGCCCGGCUAACUUCGUGCCAGCAGCCGC